AACAUGUCUGUUCCAUAUAAUUUAUUUAUUGAUUAAGGGCAUUAUGAUAAUUUCAAUUCACAGUCAAGUCAUCUCCAUUGUGCUCCACGUGGUUAUGUAACGUGGCAUACAUUACUUCUUUCACUGACCUCUAUAAAGAUUGAAAAGGAAGACAAAUGAUUUUGAAUUCAACUAUUUGUCUUCAACAACUAUUGCAAUCUUAAGGUUGGAGAUAUGAGUAAAGAAGAGUUCUGGAAGAUCCAGGUACUUGUUAUUUCCUUAAUUGGGUCAUUCCAUUAAUGUGCGUGUAUAAAAUUGUUUUUUGGGGGGUUGCUUGAGUUUCUAUUUUAUGAAGUAAUUAGUAUAUGUUUGAAUGAAAGAUCAAAAUUUGUUAUGAGUUUAUUCACUUUUGUAUGUAUAUUGUUUCUCCUGUACAGUUUGAAUGUUGAAUGGGUUUGACUGGUUUUGGUUGUGCA
Non-coding RNA from Solanum lycopersicum (tomato), 455 nucleotides. Lineage: Eukaryota; Viridiplantae; Streptophyta; Magnoliopsida; Solanales; Solanaceae. The record is from RefSeq and is a predicted model, not a curated record.